GUGACCUCAAAUCAGGUAGGACUACCCGCUGAACUUAAGCAUAUCAAUAAGCGGAGGAAAAGAAACUAACAAGGAUUCCCCUAGUAACUGCGAGUGAAGCGGGAAAAGCUCAAAUUUAAAAUCUGGCAGUCUUUGGCUGUCCGAGUUGUAAUCUAGAGAAGUGUUAUCCGCGCUGGACCGUGUACAAGUCUCCUGGAAUGGAGCGUCAUAGAGGGUGAGAAUCCCGUCUUUGACACGGACUACCAGGGCUUUGCGAUGCGCUCUCAAAGAGUCGAGUUGUUUGGGAAUGCAGCUCAAAAUGGGUGGUAAAUUCCAUCUAAAGCUAAAUAUUGGCGAGAGACCGAUAGCGAACAAGUACCGUGAGGGAAAGAUGAAAAGAACUUUGGAAAGAGAGUUAAACAGUACGUGAAAUUGCUGAAAGGGAAACGCUUGAAGUCAGUCGCGUCGUCCAGGGAUCAACCUUGCUUUUGCUUGGUGCACUUUCUGGUUGACGGGUCAGCAUCAAUUUUGACUAUUGGAAAAAGAUCAAGGGAAUGUGGCAUCUUUGGAUGUGUUAUAGCCCUUGGUUGCAUACAAUGGUUGGGAUUGAGGAACUCAGCACGCCGCAAGGCCGGGUUUUUAACCACGUACGUGCUUAGGAUGUUGGCAUAAUGGCUUUAAUCGACCCGUCUUGAAACACGGACCAAGGAGUCUAACAUGCCUGCGAGUGUUUGGGUGGAAAACCCGAGCGCGCAAUGAAAGUGAAAGUUGAGAUCCCUGUCGUGGGGAGCAUCGACGCCCAGACCAGACCUUUUGUGACGGAUCUGCGGUAGAGCAUGUAUGUUGGGACCCGAAAGAUGGUGAACUAUGCCUGAAUAGGGUGAAGCCAGAGGAAACUCUGGUGGAGGCUCGUAGCGAUUCUGACGUGCAAAUCGAUCGUCAAAUUUGGGUAUAGGGGCGAAAGACUAAUCGAACCAUCUAGUAGCUGGUUCCUGCCGA
Molecule: ribosomal RNA, 978 nt
Filed under: Cortinarius veronicae
Lineage: Eukaryota; Fungi; Basidiomycota; Agaricomycetes; Agaricales; Cortinariaceae
Description: eukaryotic LSU rRNA
Rfam family: Eukaryotic large subunit ribosomal RNA
Source: RNAcentral